Pelobates cultripes (western spadefoot toad) is the source of this 232-nucleotide non-coding RNA. Lineage: Eukaryota; Metazoa; Chordata; Amphibia; Anura; Pelobatidae. The record is from the annotation of a GenBank genome assembly.
GGUGCAUACUCCAGCUGAAUAACUAUUUAAAGUGAAGAGCACACCCACAGGACUUCAAAAUAAACAUUUUUUACAGUUGUGCCCUACAUACAUUCACCAUUUCAGUCCCAUUAACAAGCUUUCCUUAAUAUGUCAAGGUUUGUAUCACUCUUACACUCUGUCCUAGAAAAAGGAGGAGGAGGGGGAUGAGGGGUGUCAGGUCUGAGUUUCUUCCUCUGCCUCAUUCCACAAG